Bombus pyrosoma is the source of this 1514-nucleotide long non-coding RNA. RefSeq lists it as uncharacterized. Lineage: Eukaryota; Metazoa; Arthropoda; Insecta; Hymenoptera; Apidae. The record is from RefSeq and is a predicted model, not a curated record. The transcript has 2 exons.
ACGAAUGUAAUUAAUCAAAAUGCUGCAUUCAAAAAUUGCACGUAUGUAUAGCAUAAAAUAUAAUGUAAGACGAAAGAACAACGUAAUCAGUUCAGAAUUACAUGUUGUCCCUUACAAUCUCUUAGAACGUUGAAUCAAUGAUCUCGUGCGAGCUUUCAAAUGCUGAAUAUAACAAGGCACUGACCGGUAGAAAAGAAACUUAAUCUCGCUUAGUUUUAUGGCCACCGGUUCUUCCUUUUUCCAUUUUUCAUUCGAAUUGAUCGCACGAAGUAAUAGAAAUACCGUGACUCGCAUAAAAUUGUAUUCGACGUGCAAUCUACACGACUCCAUCGCAUUCAAAUACAUACGUAUAUUUACAACGUGAUAAGUUUCCGUGCUACCAAAGUUAGCGCCGGAGGUGGUCAUUAUCCUGCAUAAAUACCGAUAAUAUAAUAGUUCAACGACGCAGAAGCAUUUCGCGUGAAAGCCAACGGCGAAACUCAGUGAACGACGUUUGAGAGGCGAGAAGAGGGAACAUGUUGGAGCAGUGGCCAGAGUUGGAUGGAAGGAACAUAAAACACAAGUCGAUCAACGACGUCGAGCCGCGUAAACCAACAGCACCGAGUAUAGUUGCAUGUAUAAAGGCAUUGCCCGCGCCUUUCAGAACCUCCGCGAAGUAUCGCGAAAAACUUAGUUUUGCCAAGACGAUAAAUCAUCUUGAAAUUCGCCCGGGCUGACAGCCAUGUAGUUUUACGAGGGCCUGCACGCAAAAUGCAAAGCAGCGCCCGCAGACCCUGUGGGCUUGCAUCGCAAUUAAUUAGCGUUUCGUGAUACCCGUGCAUGUGCCGAACCACUCUUUUUUUUUAUGUCAGCUAACUAAAAACUGCUCGCACGAUAAGCUAACACCAUUCGAUGAUCCUGGGGGACGUGUAGCAACGUUCCAAAGGACAUGGAAUACCCGACCGGAGAUUAACAAUUCUAUGAGGAAAUUUUUCUACGAGACGAAAAUGAAGAACAAGGGACGCGCCUGGUUCGUCUCGCGGAAUGAUCCUGAUGACGAAUACAAAUACAGUGAAAGUAAAAUUCUAAAAGAGUGAUAUACGUAGAGAAUUGUUGAAUUGGCAUGCGAGUAUGUUAGCAAGUAUGACGAGAUAAUUGGAAGUUACUGACGUGACACGUAAAGCAGUACUUUUCGACAAUUAUUCUUCAUGUUAAUUCCAGCAACUUGUUCUUGCAGAAGCUUGUCAAAACUGAAAAGUGAAAAAUCUUUUCGAAAUAAGACGUACAAACAAAAUCGCUCGUUUCUUGAAGCACAUGUUAAAUAAAUGGAACUAUGAAACUUGACAAAGAAUACACAGAUUACUAAAAAGUGGCCAUACCAUACAGGAAAUAAGAACGUAUAGAGGGGCAAGGUGCGAGAUGAUAAUAAAUCUAACAAGUAGAAGAAUAUGGUAUUUUAUUAAAAUCCUUACAUUAAUGAGAACGUAGAAUUAAAUUCUCAUAAUGCAAGCAAAUUUUGAAAAACUUCAUAGUCU